Molecule: transfer RNA, 56 nt
Filed under: Triticum aestivum (bread wheat)
Lineage: Eukaryota; Viridiplantae; Streptophyta; Magnoliopsida; Poales; Poaceae
Also listed under: 1 other name
Rfam family: tRNA
About the family: Transfer RNA (tRNA) molecules are approximately 80 nucleotides in length. Their secondary structure includes four short double-helical elements and three loops (D, anti-codon, and T loops). Further hydrogen bonds mediate the characteristic L-shaped molecular structure. tRNAs have two regions of fundamental functional importance: the anti-codon, which is responsible for specific mRNA codon recognition, and the 3' end, to which the tRNAs corresponding amino acid is attached (by aminoacyl-tRNA synthetases). tRNAs cope with the degeneracy of the genetic code in two manners: having more than one tRNA (with a specific anti-codon) for a particular amino acid; and 'wobble' base-pairing, i.e. permitting non-standard base-pairing at the 3rd anti-codon position.
Source: Rfam by way of RNAcentral
GCUCAGUUGGUAGAGUACAAAGCUCUUAACCUUGUGGACGUGGGUUUGAGCCCCAU